This 773-nucleotide ribosomal RNA is filed under the name Escherichia coli. Its description in RNAcentral is "partial 23S ribosomal RNA". It matches the Rfam family "Bacterial large subunit ribosomal RNA", at positions 614 to 1387 of the family's 2925-position model. The record is from RNAcentral. Lineage: Bacteria; Pseudomonadati; Pseudomonadota; Gammaproteobacteria; Enterobacterales; Enterobacteriaceae.
AAUGGGUCAGCGACUUAUAUUCUGUAGCAAGGUUAACCGAAUAGGGGAGCCGAAGGGAAACCGAGUCUUAACUGGGCGUUAAGUUGCAGGGUAUAGACCCGAAACCCGGUGAUCUAGCCAUGGGCAGGUUGAAGGUUGGGUAACACUAACUGGAGGACCGAACCGACUAAUGUUGAAAAAUUAGCGGAUGACUUGUGGCUGGGGGUGAAAGGCCAAUCAAACCGGGAGAUAGCUGGUUCUCCCCGAAAGCUAUUUAGGUAGCGCCUCGUGAAUUCAUCUCCGGGGGUAGAGCACUGUUUCGGCAAGGGGGUCAUCCCGACUUACCAACCCGAUGCAAACUGCGAAUACCGGAGAAUGUUAUCACGGGAGACACACGGCGGGUGCUAACGUCCGUCGUGAAGAGGGAAACAACCCAGACCGCCAGCUAAGGUCCCAAAGUCAUGGUUAAGUGGGAAACGAUGUGGGAAGGCCCAGACAGCCAGGAUGUUGGCUUAGAAGCAGCCAUCAUUUAAAGAAAGCGUAAUAGCUCACUGGUCGAGUCGGCCUGCGCGGAAGAUGUAACGGGGCUAAACCAUGCACCGAAGCUGCGGCAGCGACACUAUGUGUUGUUGGGUAGGGGAGCGUUCUGUAAGCCUGCGAAGGUGGCCUGUGAGGGUUGCUGGAGGUAUCAGAAGUGCGAAUGCUGACAUAAGUAACGAUAAAGCGGGUGAAAAGCCCGCUCGCCGGAAGACCAAGGGUUCCUGUCCAACGUUAAUCGGGGCAGGGUGAGUCGA